UUCAUCAGUGCCACAUCAGUGGAGUAUCCCAAUGUUGCUCAUUAUGAUACCAGCCUGGACUUCUCACUGAUCAGCACUUUGGGACUUAGGGUGAGUAUCAGACAAGUUCUCCUGGUGGAUGACCCUCCUGAUGGCAAAUGUAGAACUGAUUCUGAGCACUCUUGGGAGAAAUGCCUGGAAGGUGAGGCAAGACAUCUUCUACUCUAAAUGCAGUGCUGCUUGGAGCUAUUAUUCCACUGCAACAUUGCUUCAUCCUCUGCUAUCUGCUCAGCCAUCCUCCAUCUGAUAUGGCUAAGGAUUUUAAGACCAAAUGCAGCUGCUUCAACAGGUGAUCACUGCAGUUCACAAACUAGAAUACUACUUGAACCUGGACCAGAGUUUAUUCUGCUGCUCUAAUGGGCUGGAAACAGCAGUGGCCCAAAUGACUUCACUGGUGAGCAUCCAGAUGUUCACCUUAAAGGUGGUGAUCUCCAGGAGAGGACUGGGAAAGAGUGGGUGACACUAUGCCUUCAACACUGGGACAACACUGUUGCUUCAGCCUCCCUAUGGAAAAGUAUGAUUGUCUAAAAAAGUCAACUAUUCAAUUGAACUCUACUCCCACUUAACAAUAAUACCUUAUUACACAUUACCAACUAUUUUUAUGCUUCUUUAUCUCGUUUACAAGACCUUUGCUGGUUUCCCAAUUGGUUAAGAAAAUCAUAUUGCUUCAAUAGCCAAGGUAGCUACUUUCCAUCUAAGUCUGGUCUUGGUCCUAGGACACAGAUUUUGAGUUUAGACAUCUCUGUUGUUAUCCACACCUUGCUCACCUUGUUGUACUGCAGUGUGACCUUAAUGAUGUUUCCUCUUUCAAACUUGGAAAAGUGAAAAUGGAUUUGAUUUUCAGUCAUAGCAUUUCCUUGAAACUCCUUGACCUUAAUAAAUUGUCUGUUGGACUCUAAAUGACAUUUAACAGCCUAAUCUCUGACCUGAAUAAUGUGAGAGCUGCCUGUUUGGAAAAAUUACUCUUUUUUCAUGGGAUACUGUUAUUGCAUCUGCCAAAGGUGCUACUCCGUGUGGAGCCCUGAAAAAUGCAAGAAAGGAAAUUAUGGUGGAUGUCUUAUUCCAUGACUUAAGUUCCAGGACACCCCCAUAUUUAAAAAAAAAACUACAUGGGAUUUUUUAGACCACUGCAAUGAAUAUUGUUAGACACCAAAUUAAAUCUUGUUGAACCUGGUUCAGCCAUUUCCCCUCAAUGAAGAGGCAAAGCAAUCCUUUUCCUGUAGGUAAAAGGAAUUUGAUGGGUUUUUAUUUGAAGCUUGAAUGGAUGCUGGGCACUUCAGUUAGAAAAGGAGUGAGAUGCUGAUAGAGGAAGACCAAAAAAAAUUAGAGUUGCUUAUGGCACAGAAAUAGGUACAAAACCAGGCUUAGCCCUAAACCAAAAGACAGUGGGGAGGAUAUUACUUGAUUACUCCUCUGCUCAAAAAAAAUAAACCCAGAUUUUCUGUGUUAUUGCAAGUAAAUAAACCCGAACAAACUAA
This is a long non-coding RNA of Chiroxiphia lanceolata (lance-tailed manakin), 1517 nucleotides long. RefSeq lists it as uncharacterized. Lineage: Eukaryota; Metazoa; Chordata; Aves; Passeriformes; Pipridae. The record is from RefSeq and is a predicted model, not a curated record. The transcript is spliced from 2 exons.